Molecule: long non-coding RNA, 649 nt
Filed under: Mytilus galloprovincialis (Mediterranean mussel)
Lineage: Eukaryota; Metazoa; Mollusca; Bivalvia; Mytilida; Mytilidae
Source: RNAcentral
GACAGGAUAAAACUUUACUCAUGCCAAGUAUUUCUUUAUUUGAAACAAAGAUAAAUUCUGCACAAUUUUUUGAAAAGUGCAAAUUUAACAAAGACUAAUAGGGGAAAAUCAAUGGUGGUAUUACACCUAAUAUGGGAAGCUGUACAUGCACCUAUGGCCUUGUGAGUAAUCUCAUGUGUUAAAAUUUCUUGCUAUUUAAGUGAAAUAAUACAAAAAAUGAAAUAUUCUGAGUGGAUUGAGUCUCCAAAACACAUUUUAUGAGAAAAUUGUCUUGUAAUAGGACUGUACCAUGAAUAUUCAGUUGACAGAACAAGCCAUACUAAGUGCAUAUAUCUUUUUUUUUGGAGGGGGGUGGGCUUUUUCUCCUUAUUUCUUAUAUUUUGCUAUGAUAUAACAUUUUCCUAGGUAAUACUUAAAUAAAUAUAUAGUUAUAAGUAGAUGAAAUUAUUUUUAAUGUUGUAACGACAAGUUAUUCACUAAAAGAGAAGCCUUUUAUGUCCCUCUUUGGAACGCGGCGUAAAUUUAAUUUUUACGUAAGGACUUAUUGAAACCUUCAUGGAGACAGUAAACUUUUAUAUGGAUUGUUCAUUCUGCUAAAAUGCUUCAAUUACUCAUUUCUUAUAACAUUUCCACCAUAAAUGAUUGAAAG